UACGGAGGGUGCAAGCGUUGUUCGGAAUUACUGGGCGUAAAGCGCGUGUAGGUGGCUUGUAAUGUCAGGUGUGAAAGCCCUCGGCCUAACCGAGGAAGUGCGCCGGAAACUGCCCAGCUUGAGUACGAGAGAGGAGGACGGAAUUCCCAGUGUAGAGGUGAAAUUCGUAGAUAUUGGGAGGAACACCGGUGGCGAAAGCGGUUCUCUGGAUGGAUACUGACGCUGAGACGCGAAAGCGUGGGGAGCAAACAGG
RNAcentral lists this ribosomal RNA (253 nucleotides) under uncultured bacterium. Its description in RNAcentral is "partial 16S ribosomal RNA". It matches the Rfam family "Bacterial small subunit ribosomal RNA", at positions 524 to 776 of the family's 1533-position model. The record is from RNAcentral.